RNAcentral lists this non-coding RNA (24 nucleotides) under Cricetulus griseus (Chinese hamster). The record is from RNAcentral. Lineage: Eukaryota; Metazoa; Chordata; Mammalia; Rodentia; Cricetidae.
AUGGAUUCUCCUGCCUUGGUGCCA